UUAAGAAUGGUAUAAUAAGCACAAGACAGUAAAAGCAACAUUUUUAAUGACGGUGGCUAUCUUUUUUGAAAGUGAGGUGAUGCGUAUGUACGUAUCCCAAAAAUCUUUAGAAAGGAGAUGCCUUUUGUCUGUUGAAGCAGCGUUAGGUUUGAUGAUUAGUUUCGGUUCUUUAAUCGCGACGAUCAUUUUUGGAAUCCUAA
RNAcentral lists this small RNA (200 nucleotides) under Enterococcus pallens ATCC BAA-351. RNAcentral's name for it is "Listeria sRNA rli28". It matches the Rfam family "Listeria sRNA rli28". Lineage: Bacteria; Bacillati; Bacillota; Bacilli; Lactobacillales; Enterococcaceae. The record is from Rfam by way of RNAcentral.